CGGAGGCCCGAGUUAAAACAGAAGGUGCUGCUUUGCCUCCAGAAUAUUUGUGUGGUGAUCCUCUAAUUUUUCAAGCGAUGGGCUAUAGGAUGAGGACCUGCCAGGGCCAAGAAGACACAUUUCAGAAGGAGGCUCUUAAAGGCCAAGUGGUGAGGAGGUUCCAAGGUGGCCGAAUAGGAAGAGCUCCAGUCUACAGCUCCCAGCGUGAGUGAUGCAGAAGACGGGUGAUUUCUG
Long non-coding RNA from Homo sapiens (human), 234 nucleotides. RefSeq lists it as uncharacterized. The record is from RefSeq and is a predicted model, not a curated record. NCBI's taxonomy places the organism in Eukaryota, Metazoa, Chordata, Mammalia, Primates, Hominidae. The transcript is spliced from 3 exons.